Molecule: ribosomal RNA, 330 nt
Filed under: uncultured bacterium
Lineage: Bacteria
Description: bacterial SSU rRNA
Rfam family: Bacterial small subunit ribosomal RNA
Source: RNAcentral
GACGAACGCUGGCGGCGCGCUUAACACAUGCAAGUCGAGCGAGAACCAGGGCCUUCGGGCCUGGGGACAGCGGCGAACGGGUGAGUAACACGUGGGUAAUCAACCCUCGGUACUGGGAUAGCCCGGGGAAACCCGGAUUAAUACCGGAUGGCCCUUUGGAUCUUCGGAUCUGACGGAAAAGGUAGCUUCGGCCUCCGACCGAGGACGAGCCCGCGGCGGAUUAGCUUGUUGGUGAGGUAACGGCUCACCAAGGCGACGAUCCGUAGCUGGUCUGAGAGGACGAUCAGCCACACUGGGACGUGAGACACGGCCCAGACUCCUACGGGAGGC